This is a long non-coding RNA of Dendroctonus ponderosae (mountain pine beetle), 818 nucleotides long. RefSeq lists it as uncharacterized. The record is from RefSeq and is a predicted model, not a curated record. The transcript is spliced from 2 exons. NCBI's taxonomy places the organism in Eukaryota, Metazoa, Arthropoda, Insecta, Coleoptera, Curculionidae.
UUUUGCGUGCCCGCAGCAGAUAACUGGACUUGAAGCAUUGAAGACGCUAGGGAUCACGUGAGAAAACCACACACGAAAAAUGUUCGCAUAAAAUACGGCAAAAAUGUAAAUGUAAUGUCGCUGUUGUGGACUUGAAGCAUUGAAGAUGUUCGGGAUCACCAGAUCUCCAGAUCCAGUGAGAAAACCACACACGAAAAAUUUUCGCAUAAGAGACAAGUAAGGUUGUCUGAACCUAAUUAUUCCUCUAUUAAUGUAGAACUAUUAUCUGUAUUUUUUUAUUUUUACCAGUUUGAUUUUGGUUGAUUUCUAUUUUGCGAUAAGCAUGUUUUCUUGGAUCGAAGGAAAGUAACAAAAGUAAAAUGAAAGUAAUGUAUCAAAGCAAACUGCUAUACCUUACUGUAUUUCUACACAACAAAAUAGUCUAUCAAUGUAAAACUAUUAACUGCAUUUUGUUGUUGGGACCAAUAUUAAAAUUGGUAAUUGCUUAUAGAAUUUUUGUUAAGAGCAUAUUGCGAAACACUUUAAUUGAUCGAGAACAAAAUGAAAGGGCAAAAUCCACAGAGCGGGAACAUGUAAGAAAUAUAAAAUAAUAAGUGCAGUUUUUUAGAUAAAGGUUUGUGUUUUAUCUCACAGUCACACAUCAUUGCGACAACGGCAAAAAUGCUGAAAAUGUUAAUUUAAAUUUUUAGUCCGUAGUUAUAAGUUAUAUUUUAAUUUAUUUAUUAUCCAUUUAAUUAGUUUUAGAUUAGUUGUAAGUAACUCUUGUUGUUGAAAAAUUACAUCAGUAAAUACUUAAAUAUGUGAAUAAACUAAUAAGA